RNAcentral lists this ribosomal RNA (445 nucleotides) under uncultured bacterium. RNAcentral's name for it is "bacterial SSU rRNA". It matches the Rfam family "Bacterial small subunit ribosomal RNA", at positions 354 to 796 of the family's 1533-position model. The record is from RNAcentral.
GUAGGGAAUAUUGGACAAUGGGCGAAAGCCUGAUCCAGCCAUGCCGCGUGAUAGAUGAAGGCCCUCUGGGUUGUAAAUAUCUUUUAUCUGGGAAGAAACUCCUCUAUUCUUAGAGGCCUGACGGUACCAGAGGAAUAAGCACCGGCUAACUCCGUGCCAGCAGCCGCGGUAAUACGGAGGGUGCAAGCGUUAUCCGGAUUCACUGGGUUUAAAGGGUGCGUAGGCGGGUUGAUAAGUCAGUGGUGAAAGCUCCGGGCUUAACUUGGAAACUGCCAUUGAUACUGUCAAUCUUGAAUGUCGUAGAGGUAAGCGGAAUGUUGCAUGUAGCGGUGAAAUGCUUAGAUAUGUUACAGAACACCAAUUGCGAAGGCAGCUUACUAUGCGAUAAUUGACGCUGAGGCACGAAAGCGUGGGGAGCAAACAGGAUUAGAUACCCCGGUAGUCC